RNAcentral lists this long non-coding RNA (465 nucleotides) under Coturnix japonica (Japanese quail). RNAcentral's name for it is "lncRNA (ENSCJPG00005011521.1)". Lineage: Eukaryota; Metazoa; Chordata; Aves; Galliformes; Phasianidae. The record is from RNAcentral.
AUGUAAAGGAUUUUUGAGGUUUUUACAUGAAAUAGCAUUUAUAGGAAUUGGAAUAAGUGUUGAUCAUACUUUCUGUUUCAUUUCAGGAGAUACCCUCUGCUCGGCACAUUUCUGCUUCAUGGGGAUGAAGGAAAAAGGGAAUCUUGCAUCAUGGAAAACACAUCCUGCUUCGGGUGGAGAGCACUGUUGUAAAAUUCCUUCAGAUGCACACAGGAACACGUGGAGAUUUUAUUAGUCGAAGAAGUCUUCCAAGUUUCAUUUUGGCCUGUUUGGACAGCUCAGCUCUGUAAUCAUCACUAAGAUUUUUACGAAGGUGGGGAGAGUGGGAUAAUACCAAAAUGCAUUACGUGCAAAGCCAUGUAGAGAACAGGAGGCAUUAAAGAAGACGAGAUUCUUUUCGUGUGGAUGGAAUCACGAGGUAAGUUUGCGAAGCCUUGCCCCGCAGAUUAAUUUCCAGUAUCUCCA